This 30-nucleotide transfer RNA is filed under the name Dichapetalum madagascariense. RNAcentral's name for it is "partial tRNA-His". The record is from RNAcentral. Lineage: Eukaryota; Viridiplantae; Streptophyta; Magnoliopsida; Malpighiales; Dichapetalaceae.
GGCGGAUGUAGCCAAGUGGGUCAAGGCGGU